Molecule: ribosomal RNA, 802 nt
Filed under: uncultured bacterium
Lineage: Bacteria
Description: bacterial SSU rRNA
Rfam family: Bacterial small subunit ribosomal RNA
Source: RNAcentral
AGAGUUUGAUCUGGCUCAGGAUGAACGCUGGCGGCGUGCCUAACACAUGCAAGUCGAACGAAGCAAUUGAAGGAAGUUUUCGGAUGGAAUUUAAUUGACUGAGUGGCGGACGGGUGAGUAACGCGUGGAUAACCUGCCUCACACUGGGGGAUAACAGUUAGAAAUGACUGCUAAUACCGCAUAAGCGCACAGUACCGCAUGGUACGGUGUGAAAAACUCUGGUGGUGUGAGAUGGAUCCGCGUCUGAUUAGCCAGUUGGCGGGGUAACGGCCCACCAAAGCGACGAUCAGUAGCCGACCUGAGAGGGUGACCGGCCACAUUGGGACUGAGACACGGCCCAAACUCCUACGGGAGGCAGCAGUGGGGAAUAUUGCACAAUGGGCGAAAGCCUGAUGCAGCGACGCCGCGUGAGUGAAGAAGUAUUUCGGUAUGUAAAGCUCUAUCAGCAGGGAAGAAAAUGACGGUACCUGACUAAGAAGCCCCGGCUAACUACGUGCCAGCAGCCGCGGUAAUACGUAGGGGGCAAGCGUUAUCCGGAUUUACUGGGUGUAAAGGGAGCGUAGACGGCGAAGCAAGUCUGAAGUGAAAACCCAGGGCUCAACCCUGGGACUGCUUUGGAAACUGUUUUGCUAGAGUGUCGGAGAGGUAAGUGGAAUUCCUAGUGUAGCGGUGAAAUGCGUAGAUAUUAGGAGGAACACCAGUGGCGAAGGCGGCUUACUGGACGAUAACUGACGUUGAGGCUCGAAAGCGUGGGGAGCAAACAGGAUUAGAUACCCUGGUAGUCCACGCCGUAAACGAUGAA